Molecule: ribosomal RNA, 510 nt
Filed under: uncultured bacterium
Lineage: Bacteria
Description: partial 16S ribosomal RNA
Rfam family: Bacterial small subunit ribosomal RNA
Source: RNAcentral
GACGAACGCUGGCGGCGUGCUUAACACAUGCAAGUCGAACGAAGAGCGAUGGAAGCUUUCUUCUAUCAAUCUUAGUGGCGCACGGGUGAGUAACGCGUAAUCAACCUGCUCUUCAGAGGGGGACAACAGUUGGAAACGACUGCUAAUACCGCAUACGAUCUAAUCUCGGCAUCGAGGAAAGAUGAAAGGUGGCCUCUAUUUAUAAGCUAUCACUGCAGGAGGGGAUUGCGUCUGAUUAGCUAGUUGGAGGGGUAACGGCCCACCAAGGCGAUGAUCAGUAGCCGGUCUGAGAGGAUGAACGGCCACAUUGGGACUGAGACACGGCCCAGACUCCUACGGGAGGCAGCAGUAGGGAAUCUUCCGCAAUGGACGAAAGUCUGACGGAGCAACGCCGCGUGAGUGAUGACGGCCUUCGGGUUGUAAAGCUCUGUUAAUCGGGACGAAAGGCGUUCUUGCGAACAGUUAGAAGGAUUGACGGUACCGGAAUAGAAAGCCACGGCUAACUACGUG